This 499-nucleotide ribosomal RNA is filed under the name uncultured bacterium. Its description in RNAcentral is "bacterial SSU rRNA". It matches the Rfam family "Bacterial small subunit ribosomal RNA", at positions 9 to 521 of the family's 1533-position model. The record is from RNAcentral.
GAGUUUGAUCUUGGCUCAGGACGAACGCUGGCGGCGUGCUUAACACAUGCAAGUCGAACGGUGAACCCUUCGGGGGAUCAGUGGCGAACGGGUGAGUAACACGUGAGCAACCUGCCCUUGACUCUGGGAUAACCCCGGGAAACCGGAGCUAAUACCGGAUAUGACGCACGGAGGCAUCUCCUGUGUGUGGAAAGAUUUAUUGGUCAAGGAUGGGCUCGCGGCCUAUCAGCUUGUUGGUGGGGUAAUGGCCUACCAAGGCGACGACGGGUAGCCGGCCUGAGAGGGCGACCGGCCACACUGGGACUGAGACACGGCCCAGACUCCUACGGGAGGCAGCAGUGGGGAAUAUUGCGCAAUGGGCGAAAGCCUGACGCAGCGACGCCGCGUGAGGGAUGAAGGCCUUCGGUUGUAACCGUACUUCUAGCAGGAAGAAGACGAAAGUAGACGGUAACCGUGCGAGAAGAAGACACCGGCUAACUACGUAGCCAGCAGCCGCCGU